CUGAAGGAGCUUCCUGCAAUUUUCCUUAUAAGGGUCUGUUAGCUGUAGUUACCAGGUAUAAAAGAGUGGCUCUUUUUUGCAUGUGUCUAAAUAGAGACAAGUGGAAACUAGGGGAUUCUUCUGAUGUGUGAUGAAUAUGAACAUUUAUGUAUGCAUUCCAUGUGGGAACAAGACCUAGACACCGGUGGACAGCAGCAUGCAGCUUAAAAGCACGUGAUCCUUAAAUGAAGAUUUUGAAAAGAGUGGGGGAGGAAAGGCAGUGAAGAGGGAAGUCAAGACGGACUUAUUCCUGCUUGAUUUCAAGAUGAAAAGACUGUUCAUCCCUGAAAAUUCCACGGGGAAUCAGAGGGAGGGAGAGAAACAAGUCCUUGUUUGUACAGAACUGUUCACAAAUGUUAUAUCAUGGGGUCAGAUUCACAUACUGGGUAAACCUUGAAGAAAAAAUUCCCAAGGGAUUCCAUAGGAUGUGAAGCAGGCCAAAAACUUUGUUACUUGUCUUUUUGUCCCGUGAGACCUACACAUCAACAGUUUUAAAACAGAAAAGUAGGAUAGUUAGUACCUUUGAAGGGCCACUCCAGAUGUCUAGGUCCAACUAAAUUUGUCUACAAAUUUCUAUGGUUAUUUAUAGCUUCUUUUUUAUAGCUUUAGGAUCUUCAGUAAGGCUGAGACUUAAGGGAGCUGUUUCAGAUCCAGGAGAAAUCAUAGAAAUGUGUACGUGUUCCUACUAGUCUAAUCCUAUCCCCAAGGCCAAAUAGGGUGGUGCAGUAUGUGUGGCUUAUUUUUCAUAGCUCCAGGAAGGACAAGUGAAGAUUCAGGAUGAAACAGAACUAAGUCUGGCUAGGCUAGUGACAAACACUUAAAUUACCUAAGUCAUAGAUUAACCAGUAAAAAAUGAUUUCUGCUCCCAGCUCAUACCUACUGGGACCAGAUGAUAAUGAUGGUGAUGACGAUAAUAAUGAUGAUGAUGUCAAUAUUUUUUGAGUAUUUGCUAUGUACCAAAAGUCUUUUGCACUACUCAAAAGACCUGACAUACAUUGUUUUAUUAAAUUCUCACAAUAAUCCUAUAUGGUAGCCUUUGCUAUUCCUGUUGUAAAGAUGAAGAAACAGAGGUUCAGUAAAUUCAAUUAACUUGUUCAAGGUGGUACAGCUAGUAGAUAAGCCUGGAAUGUGAAUCCAAAAGGGUCUGACUUGACCAUUGUCCUACAGUGCCUCUCUAUUAGUAACUCAAAUCAGACAUCCUAGUUGAAGUGUAAAGUAAGGCUGGGGAUAGAACUCUCAAUAAAAUGGUGACUUUACUGAGGGUGACUCUCAAUAAAAUGAUGCAUUACAUAAGGGAAUAGCCAGCAUUUCUCCAUUUCAUGAAAGUUCCUUCUCACAGUGGAGCAAGGAUUCUCUUCUCUCUUCCAUCUUUUGCCUGUCAUCAAAACUGGCUGUCAAGUAAGAAUUUAAUAUACUCAUUCAAAGUAGGCAAACUGUAAUAAAAAUGGU
Molecule: long non-coding RNA, 1488 nt
Filed under: Homo sapiens (human)
Lineage: Eukaryota; Metazoa; Chordata; Mammalia; Primates; Hominidae
Description: HSALNT0364481
Source: RNAcentral